AUAUCAAUAAGCGGAGGAAAAGAAACCAACCGGGAUUGCCUCAGUAACGGCGAGUGAAGCGGCAAGAGCUCAAAUUUGAAAUCUGGCCCCUUUGGGGUCCGAGUUGUAAUUUGCAGAGGAUGCUUCGGGUGCGGUCCCCGUCUAAGUGCCCUGGAACGGGCCGUCAUAGAGGGUGAGAAUCCCGUCUGGGAUGGGCGGCCGCGCCCGUGUGAAGCUCCUUCGACGAGUCGAGUUGUUUGGGAAUGCAGCUCUAAGCGGGUGGUAAAUUUCAUCUAAAGCUAAAUACUGGCCGGAGACCGAUAGCGCACAAGUAGAGUGAUCGAAAGAUGAAAAGCACUUUGAAAAGAGAGUUAAACAGCACGUGAAAUUGUUGAAAGGGAAGCGUUGUCCACCAGACUCGCCCGGGGGGGUUCAGCCGGCACGUGUGCCGGUGUACUCCUCUCCGGGCGGGCCAGCAUCGGUUUGGGCGGCUGGUGAAAGGCCCCGGGAAUGUGCCACCCUUCGGGGUGCCUUAUAGCCCGGGGUGCCAUACAGCCAGCCUGGACCGAGGCCCGCGCUUCGGCGAGGAUGCUGGCGUAAUGGUGGUCAACGGC
Molecule: ribosomal RNA, 593 nt
Filed under: Talaromyces pinophilus
Lineage: Eukaryota; Fungi; Ascomycota; Eurotiomycetes; Eurotiales; Trichocomaceae
Description: eukaryotic LSU rRNA
Rfam family: Eukaryotic large subunit ribosomal RNA
Source: RNAcentral